This is a long non-coding RNA of Brassica oleracea var. oleracea, 1489 nucleotides long. RefSeq lists it as uncharacterized. The transcript has 6 exons. Lineage: Eukaryota; Viridiplantae; Streptophyta; Magnoliopsida; Brassicales; Brassicaceae. The record is from RefSeq and is a predicted model, not a curated record.
AAGUUAAUUAAUUUACAAAAAAGGGAUGCGGUCACUUUCGGAGUAAUACACGGAAUCAUCAUUCUCAUCUUCUGCAUCGUCUGCUUCAUCACCAUGGAAGGCGCCUGCUGUAAAAACCGCCGCUCCCUGCAUUAGAUCAAUCAGAUGUCGUUCUCAACUAUAAGACUCGUGAUUCUGUUUCUGGAUCUGUGCGUAGAGACACCGGACUCUCUCACUCAACGCCGGCGUGUGAGGAUCACGUGCAUCAUGACGGAGGUGCGUGUAGUCACUUGCAUGAUCACGAUCAUCAUCAUGAGGUGGUGAAGAUGAAGUUGCCGGAGGAGCUGGUUGAGGAAGAGGAUAUGAGGUUAUGUGGGUUUGAGCCUUGUCUUCAUCAUGACCAUGAUCAUGAAUCAAGUUCUAAUAUUUCUGGAUUUGCAUUUUGGUUAGCUUGGCGUCGCUCUUUUGUCUGAUAUUGCUGCCAGUUAUGUUCGUCUACAGUUCAAGGGAAGCCUGCAAAAUGGUUUGUUGAUGCAUUGGCUUGACACACAACUGCAGCAGAUUUGGCCAGAUCACCCUAUCCUAUUUGACUUCUGGCGAAGAGUUAAUGUGGACAGGAAAGUAUGGAGCUCGACUUGUUCUUCUGAUCUAGCUGGUCGAAGAAUCCAUCUGUCUUGGUCAUACAAUUAAUGGACACCAAGUCUAGAGGCAGAUCUUCCCAAGAAUGUUCAAAGAUUACCCUUAGAAGACCAGUUAUGGUGCCAAAACAGUCAGAUUCUGUGGAUAGGAAAGCAUGGAGAGCAACCAGAUAACAUGGAUAUAUAACUUAAUCUGAUAUAUAUUCUGUUUAUUUUGUUGCUUUUAUACGACCAUAUGUGUAUUACAUGGCUCAUCGAGAUAGAAAUAAGGAAGCAAAGCGAUGACUUUUCUCCAACUGUUCUGCAACAAUUUAAUCACCUGAAUCAUCUUCAUCUAAGGUAAAAGUGUCAAACCUUCACAAGAGAAAGCAUCAGAUCACUGCGUUAUUCAUGGACAUGAAGAAGAUCAUGCCUUCUUCUUAAACACGUUUGCUCUUGCUUUGCCUAUCCAUCUUUCUCAUCGCUUCAACUGAUAAGAUCACUCCACUGCUCAACUUGGUAUCUCUAGUCACCCUUUUUACAUUUUUUAUAUCUUUUGUUUUGAGAAAUUUUUCAGAGGUGAUGAUGGUGGAAGGAAGAGUUUGCCAGAGGCGAAGCCAGACAUGGACAGGAUUUUGUGGCAACACUCGCGGCUGUGACAUUCAGUUUAAGAGAUGGGAACGGGCUUCACACGGGGCUUGUCAUGCUCAGUUCGCAUGUUUUUGCUACUUCAACUGCUGAAGCAAGCAGAAAGUUCUCUGAAUCUUCUUCAAGUGUCACGGUGUUGUCUUCUUUUGUUCUGUUGCGAAUCAUGUACGUAGUCUCUAUGACAAAACCAUAACGUUUACCGUGGGUUCUAAUAAAAUCCAGUUUGUGCUUGGGAGUUACCAUUA